GCCCAGACUCCUACGGGAGGCAGCAGUGGGGAAUAUUGCACAAUGGGGGGAACCCUGAUGCAGCGACGCCGCGUGAGUGAAGAAGUAUUUCGGUAUGUAAAGCUCUGUCAGCAGGGAAGAAGAAGGACGGUACCUGACCAAGAAGCCCCGGCUAACUACGUGCCAGCAGCCGCGGUAAUACGUAGGGGGCAAGCGUUAUCCGGAUUUACUGGGUGUAAAGGGAGCGUAGACGGCAGGGCAAGUCUGGAGUGAAAGGCGGGGGCCCAACCCCUGGACUGCUCUGGAAACUGUCCGGCUGGAGUGCAGGAGAGGUAAGUGGAAUUCCUAGUGUAGCGGUGAAAUGCGUAGAUAUUAGGAGGAACACCAGUGGCGAAGGCGGCUUACUGGACUGUAACUGACGUUGAGGCUCGAAAGCGUGGGGAGCAAACAGGAUUAGAUACCCCCGUACU
RNAcentral lists this ribosomal RNA (449 nucleotides) under uncultured bacterium. RNAcentral's name for it is "bacterial SSU rRNA". It matches the Rfam family "Bacterial small subunit ribosomal RNA", at positions 329 to 794 of the family's 1533-position model. The record is from RNAcentral.